Molecule: long non-coding RNA, 581 nt
Organism: Pecten maximus
Lineage: Eukaryota; Metazoa; Mollusca; Bivalvia; Pectinida; Pectinidae
Exons: 3
Source: RefSeq, a predicted model, not a curated record
AAAAAAAAUAAAAAAAAUCAUUUAACAAACUUUAAUUGUUUAACAACUCGCAAUUAAAACAUGUAUCGUUUGGUUUUUUUAGCAGUCCACUACCGCCAAUGCCGCCACCACCACCACCACCACUUCCGCCACUACAACCGACACUGCCAACACUACUGAGGACAAUGUGACCAGUACAGACUUGAACACGAGAAAACCCUUGCCGAGAUUACCAAACACAUCGACAACGGGCGAGCCGACGACGGUCACAGACGUACCGACACCCUCAGAUCCCUCGACAGCUGUAGUUGUGAUAGUGGUGAUUUCAUCCGGGACUUUCUUCGUGGUCAUUGUCAUUGUCAUGAUGAAGAAAAGGAAGAGACGGGAAGUGACGUCAGAAAUAGGAAUGUCAACUUUGACCAGUGCAUUUUCUGUAUUGAGCCUUGAUUCAGAGUCGGAAGUCGUUUUCUCGGGGUCAACGACGAGGAGAAGACAUUCCAAGGAUGACUGAGAGAGAGGGGAAAACUGUUUGAUCAUUUUGUUUUAUUUACCUGAACAAUUAAAACAAAAACAAAAAUUGUUAAUCAGACAUGUUGUUGAUU